GGGUGAGUAACACGUGGGUAACCUGCCUGUAAGACUGGGAUAACUCCGGGAAACCGGGGCUAAUACCGGAUGGUUGUUUGAACCGCAUGGUUCAGACAUAAAAGGUGGCUUCGGCUACCACUUACAGAUGGACCCGCGGCGCAUUAGCUAGUUGGUGAGGUAACGGCUCACCAAGGCAACGAUGCGUAGCCGACCUGAGAGGGUGAUCGGCCACACUGGGACUGAGACACGGCCCAGACUCCUACGGGAGGCAGCAGUAGGGAAUCUUCCGCAAUGGACGAAAGUCUGACGGAGCAACGCCGCGUGAGUGAUGAAGGUUUUCGGAUCGUAAAGCUCUGUUGUUA
This 344-nucleotide ribosomal RNA is filed under the name Bacillus subtilis. RNAcentral's name for it is "bacterial SSU rRNA". It matches the Rfam family "Bacterial small subunit ribosomal RNA", at positions 104 to 441 of the family's 1533-position model. Lineage: Bacteria; Bacillati; Bacillota; Bacilli; Caryophanales; Bacillaceae. The record is from RNAcentral.